UCCCAUUACCACUUGAUGUCUCACAUCCUACUCCAAUGCCAUUAAUGCCUUUCAUGGUAGCUGAUAAUCCAAGUCGGUACUUCUUAAACUCGUAACUUCUUCUUUACAAGUUCAUGUGCUACCCCAUUCCCAGAUCUAAACACUUUUUUAAACUGGCAUUCUUUAAAUACUCUGCUUAAUGUUUUUAUGUCAUGUAUAUAUGAGCAUAUAACUGACCGAUCUUCUUUUGUUGUUUGGACCCGUCUAAUAAUACUGAGCGCAUCCCCUUCAAUUAUUACCCUUUAGAGCCCCAUUUCUACCCCAGUUGUACUACCUGCAAGUAACCUAUUGCCUCCGCCAUAAAGGGUAAAGGUAUUCGGUCGUUGGCUGUCAUUUUGACACCCAAAAUUUCUCCUUUUGAGUUUCUACAAAUUAUGUCCGUACCUGAUUUUUUCCUCUAUUUAUCAUAUAGCCCAUUAAAAUUUAUUUUGGCCAUAAGUCGGACUGGCGGUUUCCAGCGUUCAUCAUCACAUCUCUGCCCAGACUGCCCAUAUGCUUCCAAAAAGGAGUUGCUUUUGUGAGGCUGUCAUUAUGAUGAGUUGCUUCCCAAUUCAUGCUUGAAAAUUUUCAUUUGGUUUUUCGUUAGAUUCCCUAAACCCUAACUUUGACCAUAUCUCAUUUACUGUAGAACAAUCCCAAAUAGUGUGUUCUAGAGUCUCUGUGCCUCCCUACACCUUGAGCAUAAAGCCGAAUUACUGAUUCUUUUAUCAUGUAAAUUACCAAACAUAGGAAUAUAGUUAUUAUAGAUUCUUCAGUUUGUUAUUUUAAUUUUGCUAGGCAAAUCUGCCUGCCAUAGAUUAUUGUAAUAUUCUUUGCUUGUAUCUUCGUUGUUGUCUAUUUUUGGGUUUGUACUUCCCCUUAGUAGCCUCUUGUAUCCGCUUUUUAUUGUGUACUCCUCCGUUAGUUCUUCACUCCAAACUCUACUAUCUUCUCACAGAUACUUUACUAGAAGGAUAUGCAGUAUUGCACCUGCCUCAAUGUUAUUGAACAAUCUGGGACCCAGGCAUCCUACCAAAUUGAAAUGCAAUCACCAUUACUAACUCUCCAAGUCAUCCCAUCCUACAACAACUUUUUCAUUGCCCAUAUACUUCUCCAAGUAUACAAAAUGUAAUUUCCUAACUCUGCCCGCAUAAAAUCGGUGUUUGGAUAAUAUUUUGCCUUUAAGGCCUUUGCUAAUAAUGAGUAGGAAUUCUAUUAAUCACCAGUCUUGUUUUGUAAGAAGGGCCACAUUAAAUUCAGACAAACUUUGGAAACCCA
Long non-coding RNA from Gossypium raimondii (Peruvian cotton), 1296 nucleotides. RefSeq lists it as uncharacterized. The transcript is spliced from 3 exons. The record is from RefSeq and is a predicted model, not a curated record. NCBI's taxonomy places the organism in Eukaryota, Viridiplantae, Streptophyta, Magnoliopsida, Malvales, Malvaceae.